RNAcentral lists this ribosomal RNA (451 nucleotides) under uncultured bacterium. RNAcentral's name for it is "bacterial SSU rRNA". It matches the Rfam family "Bacterial small subunit ribosomal RNA", at positions 9 to 440 of the family's 1533-position model. The record is from RNAcentral.
GAGUUUGAUCGUGGCUCAGGAUGAACGCUGGCGGCGUGCCUAACACAUGCAAGUCGAACGAAGCACUUUAUUACGAUUUCUUCGGAAUGACGAUUUGGUGACUGAGUGGCGGACGGGUGAGUAACGCGUGGAUAACCUGCCCCAUACAGGGGGAGUAACAGUUAGAAAUGACUGCUAAUACCGCAUAAGCGCACAGUAUCGCAUGAUACGGUGUGAAAAACUACCGGUGGUAUGGGAUGGAUCCGCGUCUGAUUAGCCAGUUGGCGGGGUAGAGGCCCACCAAAGCGACGAUCAGUAGCCGACCUGAGAAGGUGACCGGCCACAUUGGGACUGAGACACGGCCCAAACUCCUACGGGAGGCAGCAGUGGGGAAUAUUGCACAAUGGGGGAAACCCUAUGCAGCGACGCCGCGUGAGCGAAGAAGUAUUUCGGUAUGUAAAGCUCUAUCAGC